RNAcentral lists this ribosomal RNA (570 nucleotides) under uncultured bacterium. Its description in RNAcentral is "bacterial SSU rRNA". It matches the Rfam family "Bacterial small subunit ribosomal RNA", at positions 338 to 916 of the family's 1533-position model. The record is from RNAcentral.
CCUACGGGAGGCAGCAGUGGGGAAUAUUGGGCAAUGGAGGAAACUCUGACCCAGCGACGCCGCGUGAGGGAUGAAGGCCUUCGGGUUGUAAACCUCUUUCAGUAGGGAAGAAGCGAAAGUGACGGUACCUACAGAAGAAGCACCGGCUAACUAUGUGCCAGCAGCCGCGGUGAUACAUAGGGUGCAAGCGUUGUCCGGAAUUAUUGGGCGUAAAGAGCUCGUAGGUGGUUCGAUACGUCGGAUGUGAAAAUCAGGGGCUCAACCCCUGACCUGCAUCCGAUACGGUCGAGCUAGAGUUUGGUAGGGGAGACUGGAAUUCCUGGUGUAGCGGUGGAAUGCGCAGAUAUCAGGAGGAACACCGAUGGCGAAGGCAGGUCUCUGGGGCCAAUACUGACACUGAGGAGCGAAAGCGUGGGGAGCGAACAGGAUUAGAUACCCUGGUAGUCCACGCCGUAAACGGUGGGCGCUAGUUGUGCGAACCUUCCACGGUUUGUGCGACGCAGCUAACGCAUUAAGCGCCCCGCCCUCGGGGAGUACGAUCGCAAGAUUAAAACUCAAAUGAAUUGACGG